Long non-coding RNA from Oncorhynchus tshawytscha (Chinook salmon), 873 nucleotides. Lineage: Eukaryota; Metazoa; Chordata; Actinopteri; Salmoniformes; Salmonidae. The record is from Ensembl.
AGAAAGGCCAAAACCUAGGAAGAAACCUAGAGAGGAACCAGGCUAUGUGGGGUGGCCAGUCCUCUUCUGGCUGUGCCGGGUGGAGAUUAUAACAGAACAUGGCCAAGAUGUUCAAAUGUUCAUAAAUGACCAGCAUGGUCGAAUAAUAAUAAGGCAGAACAGUUGAAACUGGAGCAGCAGCACAGUCAGGUGGAAGUUGAAACUGGAGCAGCAGCAUGGCCAGGUGGACUGGGGACAGCAAGGAGUCAUCAUGUCAGGUAGUCCUGGAGCUCAGGUCCUAGGGCUCAGGUCCUCCGAGAGAGAGAAAGAAAGAGAGAAGGAGAGAAUUAGAGAACGCACACUUAGAUUCACACAGGACACCGAAUAGGACAGGAGAAGUACUCCAGAUAUAACAAACUGACCCCAGCCCCCCGACACAUAAACUACUGCAGCAUAAAUACUGGAGGCUGAGACAGGAGGGGUCAGGAGACACUGUGGCCCCAUCCGAGGUCACCCCCGGACAGGGCCAAACAGGAAGGAUAUAACCCCACCCACUUUGCCAAAGCACAGCCCCCACACCACUAGAGGGAUAUCUUCAACCACCAACUUACCAUCCUGAGACAAGGCUGAGUAUAGCCCACAAAGAUCUCCGCCACGGCACAACCCAAGGGGGGGGGCGCCAACCCAGACAGGAUGACCACAACAGUGAAUCAACCCACUCAGGUGACGCACCCCUCCAGGGACGGCAUGAGAGAGCCCCAGUAAGCCAGUGACCCAGCCCCUGUAAUAGGGUUAGAGGCAGAGAAUCCCAGUGGAAAGAGGGGAACCGGCCAGGCAGAGACAGCAAGGGCGGUUCGUUGCUCCAGAGCCUUUCCGUUCACCUUCCCACUCCUG